RNAcentral lists this ribosomal RNA (454 nucleotides) under uncultured bacterium. RNAcentral describes it as "bacterial SSU rRNA". It matches the Rfam family "Bacterial small subunit ribosomal RNA", at positions 923 to 1379 of the family's 1533-position model. The record is from RNAcentral.
GCACAAGCGGUGGAGCAUGUGGUUUAAUUCGACGCAACGCGAAGAACCUUACCUGGGCUUGACAUGUCAGUGACCGCCGUGGAAACACGGUUUUCCUUCGGGACACUGUCACAGGUGGUGCAUGGCUGUCGUCAGCUCGUGUCGUGAGAUGUUGGGUUAAGUCCCGCAACGAGCGCAACCCCCGUCCUAUGUUGCCAGCAUUCAGUUGGGGACUCAUAGGAGACUGCCGGUGACAAACCGGAGGAAGGUGGGGAUGACGUCAAGUCAUCAUGCCCCUUAUGUCCAGGGCUACACACGUGCUACAAUGGCCGGUACAAACCGCUGCAAACCCGCGAGGGGGAGCUAAUCGGAAAAAGCCGGCCUCAGUUCGGAUUGGAGUCUGCAACUCGACUCCAUGAAGCUGGAAUCGCUAGUAAUCGUGGAUCAGCAUGCCACGGUGAAUACGUUCCCGGGC